This 422-nucleotide ribosomal RNA is filed under the name Fusobacteriota bacterium. Its description in RNAcentral is "Fusobacteria bacterium partial 16S ribosomal RNA". It matches the Rfam family "Bacterial small subunit ribosomal RNA", at positions 355 to 776 of the family's 1533-position model. The record is from RNAcentral. Lineage: Bacteria; Fusobacteriati; Fusobacteriota.
UGGGGGAUUUUGCACAAUGGGCGCAAGCCUGAUGCAGCGACGCCGCGUGAGGGAUGAAGGCCUUCGGGUUGUAAACCUCUUUCGCUGGGUUGAAAGGCCAUGCUUUGGGUGUGGUUGAUUUGAACUGGUAAAGAAGUACCGGCUAACUACGUGCCAGCAGCCGCGGUAAUACGUAGGGUACUAGCGUUGUCCGGAUUUAUUGGGCGUAAAGGGCUUGUAGGUGGUUUGUCGCGUCUGUCGUGAAAUCCUGUGGCUUAACCAUGGGCUUGCGGUGGGUACGGGCAGGCUUGAGUGCGGUAGGGGAGACUGGAAUUCCUGGUGUAGCGGUGGAAUGCGCAGAUAUCAGGAGGAACACCGGUGGCGAAGGCGGGUCUCUGGGCCGUUACUGACACUGAGGAACGAAAGCGUGGGGAGCGAACAGG